This 482-nucleotide ribosomal RNA is filed under the name Ananteris balzani. RNAcentral describes it as "eukaryotic LSU rRNA". It matches the Rfam family "Eukaryotic large subunit ribosomal RNA", at positions 693 to 1138 of the family's 3401-position model. Lineage: Eukaryota; Metazoa; Arthropoda; Arachnida; Scorpiones; Ananteridae. The record is from RNAcentral.
UUCGAGUCUUGGACAGGCUCGGAGGCGCAAUGAAAGUGAAGGACGCAUUCUGUGCGUCUGCGUUGGGAUCCCGGGGCCUCGAGCUCCGGGCGCACCAACGGCCCGUCCCGUCCGCCUCGUCGGUGGGACGGAGCGAGAGCGUACACGUUGGGACCCGAAAGAUGGUGAACUAUGCCUGGGCAGGACGAGGCCAGAGGAAACUCUGGUGGAGGUCCGCAGCGAUUCUGACGUGCAAAUCGAUCGUCAGACCUUGGUAUAGGGGCGAAAGACUAAUCGAACCGUCUAGUAGCUGGUUCCCUCCGAAGUUUCCCUCAGGAUAGCUGGCGCUCGAGAGGAAUCAGUCUCAUCCGGUAAAGCGAAUGAUUAGAGGCCUUGGGGCCGAAACGACCUCAACCUAUUCUCAAACUUUCAAUGGGUGAGAAGUCCGGCUUACAUGACCGAAGCCCGGACGAACGGAUGUGAGUGCCCAGUGGGCCACUUUU